GACGAACGCUGGCGGCGUGCCUAAUACAUGCAAGUUGAGCGAUGAAGAUUGGUGCUUGCCCCAAUUUGAAGAGCAGCGAACGGGUGAGUAACGCGUGGGGAAUCUGCCUCUGAGCGGGGGACAACAUUUGGAAACGAAUGCUAAUACCGCAUAACAACUUUAAACAUAAGUUUUAAGUUUGAAAGAUGCAAUUGCAUCACUCAAAGAUGAUCCCGCGUUGUAUUAGCUAGUUGGUGAGGUAAAGGCUCACCAAGGCGAUGAUACAUAGCCGACCUGAGAGGGUGAUCGGCCACAUUGGGACUGAGACACGGCCCAAACUCCUACGGGAGGCAGCAGUAGGGAAUCUUCGGCAAUGGACGAAAGUCUGACCGAGCAACGCCGCGUGAGGGAAGAAGGUUUUCGGAUCGUAAAACUCUGUUGGUAGAGAAGAACGUUGGUGAGAGUGGAAAGCUCAUCAAGUGACGGUAACUACCCAGAAAGGGACGGCUAACUACGUG
Molecule: ribosomal RNA, 497 nt
Filed under: uncultured bacterium
Lineage: Bacteria
Description: partial 16S ribosomal RNA
Rfam family: Bacterial small subunit ribosomal RNA
Source: RNAcentral